This 486-nucleotide long non-coding RNA is filed under the name Solanum tuberosum (potato). Its description in RNAcentral is "long non-coding RNA (STUB_LNC001526)". Lineage: Eukaryota; Viridiplantae; Streptophyta; Magnoliopsida; Solanales; Solanaceae. The record is from RNAcentral.
ACUAGACUGACCCGACUGAAACCUCUGCUGAGAUCUAUCAUAAGACUCUCGGGGUCUGAAACGGCGCCUAUCAUAGCUAUCCUCCUGUCUAGCUCUCUUGCCGCUGCCCCCUUGGGCCUCGCGACGGAGCUGCUCGAUAGUGCGGGCAUGGUCCACUACAUCCAGAAAUGAGCGGCCCGCUGAGACUAAAGACUGAGUCUCAAUCCGCAACUGUAGUCUCAAACCCCGAACAAAACAACGAACCCUCUCCCCCUUCAGUAGGUAAUAUCAUGGCGGCAUGCCUGGAGAGCUCGUGGAAUCGGGCCUCAUACUCUGAUACUGUCAUGGAGCCCUGCUGUAACCGAGGAAACUGAUCUCUGAGCUGAUCUCUGAUGCUCCUGGGAAUAAAUCGGGCCAAGAAGGCCUCUGAAAACUCCGUCCAUGUGACCGGUGGAGACCCAGCUGGCCUGGUCUCUAAGUAUGUACGCCACCACUGCCUGGCGGGAC